AGCUCAGUUGGUUGAGCUUCUGACUUUGGCUCAGGUCAUGAUCUCACAGUUCGUGGGUUCGAGCCCCAC
Molecule: transfer RNA, 69 nt
Filed under: Felis catus (domestic cat)
Lineage: Eukaryota; Metazoa; Chordata; Mammalia; Carnivora; Felidae
Also listed under: 2 other names
Source: Rfam by way of RNAcentral